CCGGGUUAGCGGAAAUGAGGAGGACAUUA
This 29-nucleotide ribosomal RNA is filed under the name Oligoporus lacteus. Its description in RNAcentral is "partial 18S ribosomal RNA". Lineage: Eukaryota; Fungi; Basidiomycota; Agaricomycetes; Polyporales; Postiaceae. The record is from RNAcentral.